Non-coding RNA from Crassisporium funariophilum, 81 nucleotides. The record is from the annotation of a GenBank genome assembly. NCBI's taxonomy places the organism in Eukaryota, Fungi, Basidiomycota, Agaricomycetes, Agaricales, Crassisporiaceae.
UCGGGUAUGGUGUAACGGCUAACAUUGCCGCCUCUCAACCAGUGAUCGCGGCAGCUCGGGGUUCGAUUCCCCGUACCCGAA